GCAGCCUGAUCCAGCCAUGCCGCGUGCAGUGAUGACGGUCCUAUGGAUUGUAAACUGCUUUUAUACGAGAAGAAACACUCCUUCGUGAAGGAGCUUGACGGUAUCGUAAGAAUAAGGAUCGGCUAACUCCGUGCCAGCAGCCGCGGUAAUACGGAGGAUCCAAGCGUUAUCCGGAAUCAUUGGGUUUAAAGGGUCCGUAGGCGGUUUAAUAAGUCAGUGGUGAAAGCCCAUCGCUCAACGGUGGAACGGCCAUUGAUACUGUUAGACUUGAAUUAUUAGGAAGUAACUAGAAUAUGUAGUGUAGCGGUGAAAUGCUUAGAGAUUACAUGGAAUACCAAUUGCGAAGGCAGGUUACUACUAAUUGAUUGACGCUGAUGGACGAAAGCGUGGGUAGCGAACAGGAUUAGAUACCCUGGUAGUCCACGCCGUAAACGAUGGAUACUAGCUGUUGGGAGCAAUUUCAGUGGCUAAGCGAAAGUGAUAAGUAUCCCACCUGGGGAGUACGUUCGCAAGAAUGAAACUCAAAGGAAUUGACGGGGGCCCGCACAAGCGGUGGAGCAUGUGGUUUAAUUCGAUGAUACGCGAGGAACCUUACCAAGGCUUAAAUGUAGAUUGACCGGUUUGGAAACAGACUU
This 635-nucleotide ribosomal RNA is filed under the name Flavobacterium sp. So1Pw_1198. Its description in RNAcentral is "bacterial SSU rRNA". It matches the Rfam family "Bacterial small subunit ribosomal RNA", at positions 378 to 1013 of the family's 1533-position model. The record is from RNAcentral. Lineage: Bacteria; Pseudomonadati; Bacteroidota; Flavobacteriia; Flavobacteriales; Flavobacteriaceae.